GAGACAAAUUUUAAAUCAGGAUAAAUACCACAGAGGGCUGAUGCGGUGGCUCACACUUGUAAUCCCAGCAUUUCGGGAGGCCGAGGUGGAUGGAUCACCUGAAGUCAGGAGUUUGAGACCAGCCUGGCCAAGAUGGCAAAACCCUGUCUCUACUAAAAAUAUAAAAAAAUUUGCCAAGCAUGGCGGUGCACAUCUGUAGUCCCAGCUACUCAGGUGGCUGAGGUA
Molecule: long non-coding RNA, 225 nt
Organism: Sapajus apella (tufted capuchin)
Lineage: Eukaryota; Metazoa; Chordata; Mammalia; Primates; Cebidae
Exons: 3
Source: RefSeq, a predicted model, not a curated record